RNAcentral lists this ribosomal RNA (212 nucleotides) under uncultured bacterium. RNAcentral describes it as "partial 16S ribosomal RNA". It matches the Rfam family "Bacterial small subunit ribosomal RNA", at positions 127 to 334 of the family's 1533-position model. The record is from RNAcentral.
CGCCUGGUAGCGGGGGAUAACUAUUGGAAACGAUAGCUAAUACCGCAUAACAGUAGAUAUUGCAUGAUAUCUGCUUGAAAGGUGCAAUUGCAUCACUACCAGAUGGACCUGCGUUGUAUUAGCUAGUUGGUGGGGUAACGGCUCACCAAGGCGACGAUACAUAGCCGACCUGAGAGGGUGAUCGGCCACACUGGGACUGAGACACGGCCCAG